CAUUGAUUUGUAAGUUACUUAUGAAGGACAGAACCCUUUGUAACACAGGAAGAUAUUUUUAGAAAGCCAUAUUCUGAAAUCAAUGCUCCUGACAUGAUACUGCGACUUCAUAAUUGGCCCUCCUCAGCCCGGUGCCGGAGGGUAGGAACUGCGCAGAAAAUACAGAUGCAGACAGAUGUUAACCUCCCCGAACUCAGGCUGCUGACAGUUUAAAUUAAGAGAUAAGCCAAGUAAUAAACAAACAGAUGCCACAUCAUUUGAAAGGUCAUAGGAGAGUUAUAGGCAAGGCUUGGGGAGGGCCCAGCUGGGGAGGGUUGGCUCUGGGCAGGGAGGGCAGGAAGGGCUCCGCUUUCUUCCCUGGUGAUCCUGGUUUUCUGCUGUGGUUGUCCUGGGCUCUUUGGCAUUUUCUCAUCACUGUAUAAGUAGGUUCUGAGGUACCGUCUUUAGAAAGAGCAUGGUGGACUCUGCCGAGAUGUCCUGGAGUUAGGAAUAUAGCAGAGCAGGGGGGUGGGAGAGAUGUUUAUUUUCAUUUACCAGCCGCACGCAUUCCAUCCCGCCCUGGCAGACCACGGGGGCGGGACCCCGGGCCCCACUCGGGAGGGCGCUUUACAGUAACUGGGUUUAGGCUAAAGCCCCAAAGCAACUGGCAGGCUUUGAGGGGCUGUAAGUGGGGAAGCUACACUUCCUAUUUGUGCUGUGGAAGUGCUUCGGCGGCCGUGUGGAGGGUGGACUAAAGGCGAGCAAAAUGGGGAGGGGGAAACCCGUGUGGGGGCUACCGGGGAAGGAGAUGCCAGGUGGGCCUGAACUGAGGUCCACGUGUGGCAUGAAGAGGGUCACAGAGGACGGAACCGGUGACAAUUUGCACGUGGAGGAUGGUGAGGGAGCGUGAGUUACAAGUGGGGAGAAGCAAAUUUGGGAAGAGUUUAGUGGAGAAGAGGCAGCUGUGGGACUCAGAACGGAGACCCAGAAAAGAGCCACAAACGUGAGUCCAGAGCCUAUGGGCAGCUCUCAGCUGGACCUCUAAGGCUGUGCCCAUCCCGCUGUUGUUCAGCUGCAGCCCUGGAAACGGAUGGCCUUGUCCUUGCAGUGGUGGAAUGAGCAGCAGAACUGGCCCAGAACCCCAGGAAAACCAGCAGAGGAAGAGGCACGGUGGCAGAGCAAGAAUCCUGGGCCAGGUGCCUCCGCCCACAGGCUCUGAAACGCUGCAAUAAUGUGUCAAAACGGACCUGAGACUCCUUCUUCAGCUCACUUGGCCAACCUGAGCUCAAUGUUUUCAAAGACUGUCUCCGCUGUUUCUCUUCCUGGUGUCACAGCCCCCACCCAGUCAGACUGUGUUUCUCACGACUCGUUCUUUACGGCUGCAGAAACCAGCCGCAGUGUGUGGCAUCUCUGUCACCAGGUUCGUUUGGUGACUUUGCACAAUCCCAACCAGCCCUCUAUUUCUCUGCAUACAUCCUCUUUGUGCCACCCAUGGCCCCAUGGAGAAAAUAUUUCAACAUAAGGGAGUAUAUUCACCCACACCCUCUAAGUGUUUGUGCUUUCGUUGAAUGAGGCACGUCCACCAGCUGCCCCGGACUCCCAGCUGGGGGUGGGGCAGGUUGGGCCGACGGGGCGCCAGAUGGCAAUGACUGGUCUGCCAGACAAGUGUGUCUGACCCUGCCUUACGGAGAGGGCAUUUUCAGCGACUGUUCGGGGGGACUUGCUCUUCCUUUAUGAUGAUCCAUUUUUCCACUUGGCAGGACUGCCUUCCCAGAGCGCUUACUUACACUAGGGGCUGAGUCACACUUUGGAAAAUUAAUUAUUCACCAUCCUGUAUCAUCGGUGGGAUCCCCAAAUGUAUUAUAAGUUCCCUGAGGCGGCCAGAGGCCACCGCACACUUCUCGAGGAGUCCCCAGGGGCCUGGGGCUGGCCUGCACCUGUGGGAGGCCUCGGUGAAGGGCAGUGAAUCAGGGAAUGUGAGCACCGGGGCCACGGGCAGGCCUCACAAGCAGGGAAACUGGCCACAGAGGUUCAGCACUGUGUCCACACAGCCACAGAAAAGAACGGAGGUAGGAGGUAGAUGGGGCCCUGGCCUAACAAGAGCUGGGACCAUCAGGCUGAGUCAAUGGGCCAGGCUUCCCUCUGACACAUCAAGGAGAAAGUGAAGGGCAGGAGCUGGGCUCUGCUGGAGCAGAAAGAUAAGACGACCACUUCAACCACUCCUGGGGUCAAGGAGAGCUCCCCAGCCACGCAUGCGCAGUAAGGCACCUAGGGGUCAAAAGGGAGGGGGUGCCAGGCCAUAAGAAGUCCUGAUACCAUCCCAGAACCCUUUGCUCUGGAAUCCAUUUUUGGCAAAAGAUGCUUACGCCUUUCGGGGAGGGCCCUGGAGAAUUAGGAUCUUGGUCCAAACCAUCACGCACUGCUGCCUCUCCCAGGUCAGAACCAGGACUACUGAGCAAGGAAGGGAGCGAAGCAGGGCCGUGACUCAUCGAGAGCUCCAUCCCGGCCAGGCUGCCCGCACUCAGCCGUGUGAGCUUGAGGGAGUGAUCCCCUGUCUCCUCUUCUAUAAAACAGAGACGGCAGGAGAAGCCCAGCUCAGGGCCAGGGCGAAGACGAAAUGGGCGGAUCCAGGGAAAGUGAAAAAGCCAUAUCAACUCCAUGAAAUCUUUGGUACUUCGGAGUAUUUAGUACAAAUUUGCUGAAUAACGUUUUCACUUUAACUCUACCCACAGUGCAAUUGGGAAUAGGGGCUUCUUGUUCUCCAAGUGCAGGAUUGUUCCUUCCAGAGACAGAGGCCCCCAAGGAUUUGACCACCGUCCAGGCUGCGCUGAAACCGAAACAUCUGUGGUCAGGGCAGUGACCAGCAGCCAAGCCCAGAUGCCAGGAAUGGGUGUCAAGUCAUGCAUCCAGGGGCAGACGGAGACGGGGUCUCUGCCACACUGUGAAGGAAGCGGGGUGAGGUCCAUGCUGGGUGCAGGUGUGGGAGAAGAGGGACAGGGAGCCUUGCUCCCCAGAGCCCCUCUCACUCCUUGGACCCAGGCUGUGUUCUCUUGUAAUAGGGAAGAACAAAUCUGACUCCAUAUUGGAUCUCUUCUACUCCCAUGUUUGUAUUCUAUUGCUUUUGCUACAAGUAAAGAAUGUUGCCUCUAGCCUGAAAUAUACAGGAGAGCCCACGAAGUUUUUAACACUUUCCCAUUCCUACAGAGAUUAGUUACAUUUGUUUUGUUGGAGUUUCACAGGAACACUGUGACCUGACCCACACGGGUCCUUUGCAAGCACAAAGGAUUCCAGCACCAAGAAGGUGGCAGCAACCCUCAGGCCUCUUCCUCCAUCACUGCUCUCACUUAUUCUUUACUGGCUGGUGACAAAGCCACCAUCCACUGCUGCCCGGAAUGAGGCUUCAGCGCUUUCAUGGGAUUUCCAAGCAGUGAGACACAGGACUCAGGACUCCAACCCUAAAUGCAUAUGAAGUAGGUGGGACCCCGCCAAGUAUAAUGUUCUUCUCAUGGCCCCUUGCUCCUCACAGGAGGCCCCACGGUGUCAUUCUUCCCAGGAGAGUCUGUGGCUUUGGGGAGAGUCUGUGUCUGCAAUUCUGGAUUCUGGCACCGGUAUGCUGAUGAUGCCACCAGAAUUCCCCUUCCACUCCCUAGCCACCCUUGAAAGUCCAGCUGGCUUCCGGGCUCCCCCUCACAGGUUCAUCCCUGUGAAAUCCGCAAGAUCAGCAGAGGGCCCUUGCCUCGCCCUGCACUCUGCUCCCUCCCCCUGGGUCAGGACACUCACUCCCAGCUCAGCAUCUCAUACCGCCCUGUCUCCUGACUGCCCGCUGCUCCUUCUCCUGCUGAUACUCAGUAAAGGCUAACAUUUACAGAGGGUUUGCCGUAUGCAGACGCAGUGUCAAACUCUCCUACAUAUUCUCAUCGCAUCCCCAUUUAAACAGCUCCUGGCACAUGGGGGCGGGGGUGGGGGUGUGUGUCUAUAAAUACUUCUUGACCAGAUGCAUCCUCUGGACAGUCUUUUGUGGGAGGUGCUAUUAAUCUCUCCAUUGCAUAGAUGAGAAAAUUAGGGCUCAGAGAUGUGAAAUAAUCAGCUCAAAGUCACAAUGACAAGUGUCAGAGCUAAGACAAAUCUAAGAGAAUUCUGUUUCUAGGCCUUAUAUACUCCUUGUUGUUAUUCUGAAGUUUAUUCAUUCACUUAACAAAUAUAAUUUCAGAAUCUACUGUUUCAGGAACCAUUCCAGAUUCAGGGAUGUGGCAGAAAAUAAAAGAGAGAAGAGUUCCUGCUGUGAGUCAGUGGGUUACAAACCUGACUAGGAUCCAUGGGGAUGCGGGUUGGAUCCCCAGCCUCGCUCACUGGGUUAAGGAUCCAGCUCAGUUGCAGGGAGCUGUGGUGUAGGUUACAGAUGUGGCUCAGAUCCUCUGUUGCUGUGGCUGUGAGGUAGGUCAGAAGCUGAAGCUCCCACUCAACCCUAGCCUGGGAACUUCCAUAUGCCGUAGGUUCGGCCCUGAAAAGCCACAAAAAAAAAAAAAAAAAAAAAAAA
RNAcentral lists this long non-coding RNA (4516 nucleotides) under Sus scrofa (pig). Its description in RNAcentral is "lncRNA (ENSSSCG00030039171.1)". Lineage: Eukaryota; Metazoa; Chordata; Mammalia; Artiodactyla; Suidae. The record is from RNAcentral.